AGAGUGGGCCUGCUCGGUGAAUAAUUUUUAACAGCUGCGGUAUUUUAACUGUACUAAGGUAGCAUAAUAAUUUGCCUUAUAAUUUGAGGCUAGAAUGAAUGGUUUGACGAAGGUUAAUCUGUCUCUAUCUUAUUUUUUAGAAUUUAAUUUUUAAAGUGAAAAAGCUUGAAUUUUUUAAAGGGACGAGAAGACCCUAAUGAGCUUAUAAUUUUAUUAUUAUUAUUUAAUAUAUUUAAAUGAUAUAUAUAAAUUUUAAUUGGGGUGAUUAAGGAAUAAAGAAUUAUAUAAUAACUUCCUUAGAUUAAAUAUAUAUAGAUAAAGUAACCAAUAAUAUAUUGCUUAUAAUAUAGUUACCAUAGGGAUAACAGCGUAAUUUGUUUAGAGAGUUCUUAUUGAAAAACAAGAUUGCGACCUCGAUGUUGGAUUAAAGUAACCUUAAGGUGCAGAAGCUUUAGUAAGGUAAAUCUGUUCGAUUUUUAAUACUUUACGUGAUCUGGUUCCAGGAACCGGA
RNAcentral lists this ribosomal RNA (511 nucleotides) under Loligo vulgaris. Its description in RNAcentral is "partial 16S ribosomal RNA". It matches the Rfam family "Bacterial large subunit ribosomal RNA", at positions 1849 to 2622 of the family's 2925-position model. The record is from RNAcentral. Lineage: Eukaryota; Metazoa; Mollusca; Cephalopoda; Myopsida; Loliginidae.